This 460-nucleotide ribosomal RNA is filed under the name uncultured bacterium. Its description in RNAcentral is "partial 16S ribosomal RNA". It matches the Rfam family "Bacterial small subunit ribosomal RNA", at positions 338 to 795 of the family's 1533-position model. The record is from RNAcentral.
CCUACGGGAGGCAGCAGUGAGGAAUAUUGGUCAAUGGGCGGAAGCCUGAACCAGCCAAGUCGCGUGAGGGAAUAAGGCCCUACGGGUCGUAAACCUCUUUUGCCGGGGAGCAAGGGCAGGGACGUGUCCCGGCCCGGAGGGUACCCGGAGAAAAAGCAUCGGCUAACUCCGGGCCGGCAGCCGCGGUAUAACGGGGGAUGGGAGCGUUAACCGGUUUUAUGGGGUUUAAAGGGUCGGUGUGGGGGCUUUAAGGUCAGCGGGAAAAAUGCGGGGCCAACCCCCGUACGGCCGUUGAAACUGGGGGCCUUGAGUGCGGGUGAGGAAGGCGGAAUGCGUGGUGUAGCGGUGAAAUGCAUAGAUAUCACGCAGAACCCCGAUUGCGAAGGCAGCCUGCUGGCGUGCUACUGACGUUGAGGCACGAAAGUGCGGGGAUCGAACAGGAUUAGAUACCCGGGUAGUC